This 406-nucleotide ribosomal RNA is filed under the name uncultured bacterium. RNAcentral describes it as "partial 16S ribosomal RNA". It matches the Rfam family "Bacterial small subunit ribosomal RNA", at positions 30 to 526 of the family's 1533-position model. The record is from RNAcentral.
AUUGAACGCUGGCGGCAGGCCUAACACAUGCAAGUCGAACGAGUGGCGGACGGGUGAGUAAUGUCUGGGAAACUGCCUGAUGGAGGGGGAUAACUACUGGAAACGGUAGCUAAUACCGCAUACCAUCGGAUGUGCCCAGAUGGGAUUAGCUAGUCGGUGGGGUAACGGCUCACCAAGGCGACGAUCCCUAGCUGGUCUGAGAGGAUGACCAGCCACACUGGAACUGAGACACGGUCCAGACUCCUACGGGAGGCAGCAGUGGGGAAUAUUGCACAAUGGGCGCAAGUCUGAUGCAGCCACGCCGCGUGUAUGAAGAAGGCCUUCGGGUCGUAAAGUACUUUCAUCGGGGAGGCGGUACCCGCAGAAGAAGCACCGGCUAACUCCGUGCCAGCAGCCGCGGUAAUAC